RNAcentral lists this ribosomal RNA (259 nucleotides) under uncultured bacterium. Its description in RNAcentral is "partial 16S ribosomal RNA". It matches the Rfam family "Bacterial small subunit ribosomal RNA", at positions 524 to 781 of the family's 1533-position model. The record is from RNAcentral.
UACGUAGGGGGCGAACGUUGUCCGGAUUUAUUGGGCGUAAAGAGCUCGUAGGCGGCUCAGCAAGUCGGCCGUGAAAACCCGGGGCUUAACCCCGGGACGCCGGUCGAAACUGCUGUGGCUAGGGUCCGGUAGAGGAGAGUGGAAUUCCCGGUGUAGCGGUGAAAUGCGCAGAUAUCGGGAGGAACACCAGUAGCGAAGGCGGCUCUCUGGGCCGGUACCGACGCUGAGGAGCGAAAGCUAGGGGAGCGAACAGGAUUAG